This 374-nucleotide ribosomal RNA is filed under the name uncultured organism. Its description in RNAcentral is "partial 16S ribosomal RNA". It matches the Rfam family "Bacterial small subunit ribosomal RNA", at positions 527 to 896 of the family's 1533-position model. The record is from RNAcentral.
GUAGGUGGCAAGCGUUGUCCGGAAUUAUUGGGCGUAAAGCGCGCGCAGGCGGUUCUUUAAGUCUGAUGUGAAAGCCCAAGGCUCAACCGUGGAGGGUCAUUGGAGACUGGAGAACUUGAGUACAGAAGAGGAAAGCGGAAUUCCACGUGUAGCGGUGAAAUGCGUAGAGAUGUGGAGGAACACCAGUGGCGAAGGCGGCUUUCUGGUCUGUAACUGACGCUGAGGCGCGAAAGCGUGGGGAGCAAACAGGAUUAGAUACCCUGGUAGUCCACGCCGUAAACGAUGAGUGCUAAGUGUUAGGGGGGUUUUCCGCCCCCCUUAGUGCUGCAGCUAACGCAUUAAGCACUCCGCCUGGGAGUACGGCCGCAAGGCUG